Molecule: ribosomal RNA, 492 nt
Filed under: uncultured bacterium
Lineage: Bacteria
Description: partial 16S ribosomal RNA
Rfam family: Bacterial small subunit ribosomal RNA
Source: RNAcentral
AGUGAACGCUGGCGGUAGGCCUAACACAUGCAAGUCGAACGGCAGCACAGUAAGAGCUUGCUCUUACGGGUGGCGAGUGGCGGACGGGUGAGGAAUACAUCGGAAUCUACUUUUUCGUGGGGGAUAACGUAGGGAAACUUACGCUAAUACCGCAUACGACCUACGGGUGAAAGCAGGGGAUCUUCGCACCUUGCGCGUUUGAAUGAGCCGAUGUCGGAUUAGCUAGUUGGCGGGGUAAAGGCCCACCAAGGCGACGAUCCGUAGCUGGUCUGAGAGGAUGAGCAGACACACUGGAGCUGAGACACGGUCCAGACUACUACGGGAGGCAGGAGUGGGGAAUAUUGGACAAGGGGCGAAAGACUGAUCCAGCCAGACCGCGUGGGUGAAGAAGGCCUUCGGGUUGUAAAGCCCUUUUGUUGGGAAAGAAAAGCAGAAGGUUAAUACCCCGCUGUUCUGACGGUACCUAAGGAAUAAGCACCGGCUAACUUCGUG